UUCUUCAAACUCUCUGAAAAAGUUCCCCGAAUAGAGGUCGGUAAGUUGUUGAUAAGAUUUCUUGAUGAGAUUGAGGUCGUCGGAUCGGGCAGACAGUGUGGACAGAAAGGCAAGGCGUCUGCAAUUGUUCCAUUUCUUGUGCUGGGCAACAAGAUCGACACCCCUUAUGCUGCUUGAAGAUGAACUUCGAUAUCACCUAGGACUGACCAAUUUCACAACUGGCAAGGGGGGAAGGUGAAUAUGAUCAAUUUUGGCUCAGUAUUUGUGUGAUUGGUGAAUUAACGGAAGAGGAAUUUCGAGUUUGAUCAGUCGGCGGCACUGUGAACAGAGAGGUGAUGGAAGAUGAUAAAACCAUCCUGGUAUGACAUGUAAAUUAUUAAAUUGCUUAAGGUUGUUUUUUGUUAUUUGAAAGUUACACUAAAGGAAUCUGGAUCCUCUUUGUGAGGAUUCUGGGAAUCCGUGAGUCAUAUUAGUUUUUUUCGUACAUUGCGAUCAGAAAUUAUUUUAAAUAUUUUUAUUUAAAAUUAAAUACAAACAGUACCUGAUAAAAAUUAACCACAUGAUAUACGAUGAAUAGACACGAUUUACAAAUCUCUAAGAUCCUUACUAAAAGGAUUCGGAAAGAAUACACAAGACCUCGUGUCUCUGGAAAAAGGAAUUAACUUCGCUGCUGAACAUUUCAGCAGGAAUUCCUGCUUACACUCAAUACCGGAUGAACAAGUGUCCACCCGAAAUUAAAUGUAAGCAGGACGUCCCGUUGAAAUUUUAACAGCGAAGUCUUUGUGCCUGGAAAAAUAGGUUUGCGCAGAAGCGCAAACACAGCAAAAGACCCCGUUUUACAAAGUUUGCAUUUGCUAAUUUUGCUUUUUCCACCCAGAUUGUGAAAAAGGUGAUUCUAGGAGGAUUACCAAACACUGAAAAGGUCAUGUUUUUUUUUAUAUAUACUUGUUUUUUUUUUUUUAAAUCACAGCAUAACCAAAUCAGAACUUAAUAGUGCUAUAAUUUUCAAUGAAUAAUAUAAAGAACAAUUUUAGUAGCAUAUUUAACUGUUUGGAGUGACAAAUUAUAUACCAUAUAGCUGUGUAUUUCAAAUUACAAGUUUCUUUUCAGUUUUUUAUGCCAAGUUUAGCUGUGUAUUAGGAAAACAAAUGCAAUUAGGGUUAAUUAGAGAGUUGAAGAUGGGUAUGUAUGUAUGUUUGUAUAUAUGUAAAUAGGCUGGAUAAUAUAAUUUAUAAGGGUUUCAAAGCCAAUUGUCGUUAAUUAGGAAAUGUGACUUGUCUGUAAAUACAUGUAACGGUUGUGUUGGAAUUUAAAAAUGUUUGAGUACUAGUUCUAACAUCUCAAAGCCAAAUGGAUUAAUAAUGUCUCUUUUGGAUUUUACCUCAGUUACUAAGCAAUAUACGUUUUAUUGAUUAACGGGAUAGUGGGAUUCAAAUUAUGUUUCGUUUUUGUCAACUAAAGUGAAUUGUUCGUUACAAACUAACUUUUGAUUUAAUAUUUUUUAUUCAAAAUUGAAAACGAGACAUAAUUCAAAUCCCGCUUUCCUGUUAAGCAAUAAAAACAUAUAUUGCUUUGUAACAAAGGGAAAUCCAAGAGAGACAUAAUUAAUCCACUAGGAUUUGAGUUGUCAUAUCUAAUCACCAAACAUUUUCAAAUUCCAACACAACCUUGGAUGCAUUUACAGACAAGGCACAUUUCCAAAUGACAAUUGGCUUUAAAACCCUUAACCAUAUUAUCGAUAAACACCUUAUAUCCAUGAGUAAUGCUAGAGACAUCAAAUUUUUAAGGGAACUAAAUUAGGUAAAUCAAAUAAUGUUGUUGUUGAUGGUUGAAUUGUCACUUAAAUUUUGAGUAUUGUGCUUAUUUUCUAUUAGUGACACAUCUUGUGAUUUGCAAAUUUAGGUCUUCCUAGUAUUAUCUAUACAUAUAUACAUACAUAUGUGUCUAUCAUCAACUCUCACCUUGCAUGUGCUUAUAAGUAGUUGAGCUAUUCCUCAUAUUGCCAAUUGAUUUUAUGGUAGAACCCCAAUUUCUUCAUAGUAUCAGAGCAAAUUGUCCCAUGUGCGAAACUCAACGGCCCCACACGUGCCCCACAUAACUUGAGUUGUGUUGUCCACGUGUUAGACUUGAAAUUCGUCACACAUAACACGUGAAGGAGCUUGUUGAGAAUAAAUCUCACAUUGAUGAAAAGAAACUUUGCAUGUGCUCAGAAUAAUUGGAUUAUUCCUCAUAUUACCAAUUGAGUUUAUGAUGGAACUUCAACUUCUUCACUCCCUACCGUCAUCUUCCUCAGCAAAGAACUAAUGGCAAAUUUUAAAGCUGGUGCUGUUGCAAAUACCAAAGCAAAAAAUUGUGUUGUCCACGUACCCCACAUAUGUUAGGUAUCAGCAACAUUUAUAAGAUUUUGGCUACUGUCGAGCCGGAUUAAAGACAGCUGAGACUAUACUCUUUCAAGGGAAUACAUGGAGGAAUGAUCCUUCGGUUGGUUGCCUUGGUGUUACAAAUUGUUCCUCCUCGAACAAAUAUAUUUCUAUGAGAAAGAACUUGAGAUUACAAAUUGAUAUCUAGCAAUUUACAGGGAAUUAAAACAGAAGCUUGAUUCGUAGAAUAUACAACCAACACAAGGAGCAGCGGUCGUCCCUGAUCAAGUAGGGCAUAUGAUUUUAAUUUUUAUUAAUUCAGUCUUCUUGUUUUUUUUUUAUUGAAUUAUUGUUAGUUGAUCUAUAUUUUUCUGACCAACAACAUAUAUAUAUAUAUAUAGACUAAAAUAAUUGAUGUGAAAUUUAGGUCUUCGGGUCAUGGUGUAGACAUCGAAAUUUCGGAAGUUUCGUGUUUACACAUGACUGAGGUGAAAAAAGUAUGAAGAAGGGUACAUCUGCACGUUGAGUUUGGAAGACACGCCUUCGACUUCUGCCUCAUGCACCCAUGCAAGUUUCAGUGUACCCUUCUUCAUACUUUUUCAUCUCAGCCACGUGGAAGACGAACUUUUGAAAUUUUGAUGUCUACUACACCGUGAUCUGAGGGAACUAAAUUCACAGUAUAAGUAAUAAUAAAUCAAUUAUUUUAGUCUACAUACAUACAUACAUAUAUAUAUAUAUAUAUAUGUUGUUGGUUCCAAAAAUAUAGAUCAAUUAACAAUAAUUCAGUAAAAAAAAAAAUAAGGAGACUGAAUCAUUAAAAAUUAAUAUCUGACUUACUUGAUUAGGGACGACCGGUGCUGCUUGUGUUGGUUGUAUUUUCUGCGAAUCGAGCAUCUGUUUUAAUUCCCUGUAAAUUGCUAGAUAUCAAUUUGUAAUCUCAAGUUCUUUCUCAUAGAAAUCUAUUUGUUCUCGGAGGAAUAAUCCGGUAACACCAAGGCAACCAACCAAACGAUUAUCCCUCCAUGUAUUCCCUUGAAGAGUAUUAGUCUCAGUUGAUGCUUGUCUUUGAUCUGGCUCGACUGUAGCCAGAAUCUUAUAAAUGUUUCUAAUGCCGAACAUAUGCUGCGCAUUUACAAAUUCUACAUUUUCUCCUUUGGUAUUUGCAGGCAGCACCAGCUAAUUUAAAAUUUGCCAUGAGUUCUUUGUUGAGGAAGUGAGUGUACGGAUUGAAGAAGUUACCAAUUAACUAUAUGGGGAAUAGCACAACUAACUUUAAACGAGCUCAUUAAAUUCUUGUAUUUUGGUUAGUUUUAUUUGCAGUUGUUUGCAAAUUUUAUUGCUUGAAAUUGUAGAUACGCGCUAUGUGGAAGGCUUCGUGGAUUCAUGUUAUGAGAGCUGCUCCAAAAAUAACCGAAUCAAUUUAGGCAUUGUGCCAUUGUGUAUUGAUGCCUUGCUGCACGCAAAAAAUAAAUGACAAACUAUGUCUUGCAUGAACAAAUUUCAAUUUAAAGCAAUAAUAAGUUUUACCCAAUUGUUUGAA
This is a long non-coding RNA of Pyrus x bretschneideri (Chinese white pear), 3900 nucleotides long. RefSeq lists it as uncharacterized. The record is from RefSeq and is a predicted model, not a curated record. NCBI's taxonomy places the organism in Eukaryota, Viridiplantae, Streptophyta, Magnoliopsida, Rosales, Rosaceae. The transcript is spliced from 2 exons.